This 464-nucleotide long non-coding RNA is filed under the name Sorghum bicolor (sorghum). Its description in RNAcentral is "long non-coding RNA (SBIC_LNC001134)". Lineage: Eukaryota; Viridiplantae; Streptophyta; Magnoliopsida; Poales; Poaceae. The record is from RNAcentral.
AUUUUUUAGGGAUGUUCUUGUAAUCUUGUUUAGUUGGCACCUUGAUUGUGCAGGGAAUUACCUUAGGCACCGACUUCGCUGCCUUCGUGAGCUUAGACAAGUCAUGCACUUCUAUAGUGUGUUCUCGUCCAAUGGCUGACAUAAAUUUGGUGGUGCCAGCUAUUUUUUUCUUUGGCAUGUAUGGGGAAAUCAACUUUGGCAUCGGAAAUUUUUUCGUUGGCUUUUUUGGUGGGGAAGGAUAUUUGAGUUGUGGGGAAGGUGUGGAAUUUAAUGGUGGCGGAGAGCAUGGUGGGAUAGAAAGAUCAUCAUUGGGAGGUGAUGGUUGAGGGUCACGAAGAGAAAGAGGAAGUGAUGGUUGACUGUCAGGAAGAGACUGGGGAGGUGUUGAUGGCGCUGGGUUAGGAUGAGGAUUGACGGGUGCUGACAACUCCUAAGUGGGUGGUAUGUCUUGAGAGGAUGGUGGU